Molecule: unclassified non-coding RNA, 313 nt
Filed under: Hevea brasiliensis (rubber tree)
Lineage: Eukaryota; Viridiplantae; Streptophyta; Magnoliopsida; Malpighiales; Euphorbiaceae
Source: RNAcentral
AGCGAAUCUAUAUAAUAUCGACCCCAAAUUUUAGAGAUAAAAACUUAUUUGAGUUGAGUUGAGUUUCUGUCUUGUAAUAUAACGCAAGUGAGCAGACUUCUUAUCAUAUUGACGAUAAAAUCUCGUUAAUUGAUAGUUUGGGCAUAAGAGAAUGACGAAACUUCCAAGCAGAAGGAGAGUAAAGUGGUUAUUGACUUUAAAAAUCAAAGGGACAUUUCCUUGCACCGACUGCCAAUUUGCACCGACUAUUCGAGUUUCCUUUGGUUACUUUUCCAUUCAUCUCCUUCCAAACGAAGGCUUAAACUAGCGUACA